This is a non-coding RNA of Schizosaccharomyces pombe (fission yeast), 1137 nucleotides long. The record is from the annotation of a GenBank genome assembly. Lineage: Eukaryota; Fungi; Ascomycota; Schizosaccharomycetes; Schizosaccharomycetales; Schizosaccharomycetaceae.
CAUUGCAUUGUGCUGACCGACAAACGUAAGCACGAGACCACCAGUGAUGAAACUGGCUUGGACAAGGAAAACUGGAUCUGAGCCUAACGUUUGUUCAUCAGGAUCUCCUGGAAUCGUUUUGCGAGGUGCGAAAAUACUUUCGUUCAGCAUACUGAAAGGAAAAUCGGCUUUUCUGAGCGCGUCCAUGGAGGGUAUAGAAGGGACAUGCUGAAGAUCUUUGACAAAGAAAGGAGGCGUUUUCUCAUACGGUUUAAUCUUGAAUAUAUUAAAGCUUUUUCCUUCUGAACUUUCGUGAACAACCUGACCAGCUAGCCACGGAAAACUGGCUGACAGACGCUCAAGUCCAUUUGUCAGCGUCUCAAUAAUUGCUGAAUGUGAGGAAUCAUCAUCGACUAUUGGAAAACAAAAGGAUAUCUGGGUAUAGAUUUUAAGUGAUAAUUGCUGUGCUAAAACAUCCGCGAAAUCAUAGUUGUUUCAUCCAUGAUAUUGGUUGCACUAAUAUGUAGUGGGCUGAUAUAGCGUACAUGGGUAUGGUAUGGGUACGACUCUCUGUAGCAGGCUCAAUUAAGCAGCUUGCUUAAGAAAAGGAACUGUAGGGUUUCUCAAUACAUUUUGCCAACUGAAGGACCAUGUAGCAUUGAGUAUUUUUUGUAGGUUACAAGGUAAUCGCGGCAAUGUGAGUUACGUGUUGAAAGAAUUUUGGAGUCGAACUCAAGUCCAGCAGAAAUGUCUAUUUUUAUACAUAUUGGCUCAACCUCCAUCUACACUCAUAUGUUAAAAUGGUUAAACAUAUAACGCACUCAAGCACAUUAGAAUCCAUCAAAAAAACAAUCAAGGGUUACAAGAUGAACGUUUAUGGCUUAAAAAAAACCAUCUCUGCAUCUAACUGCAUCAAGAAUUCUUAACCCAAAUAAUGUACGUCGAGCUAUUAGUAAAAGCCUGUUUUUGUUUAUAGUCUUAAUGUUUAACUAAAAAAGCUGGGUCUCUAGGGAAAAGUAUACUAUUAAAAUCAGCAAAUACGGUAUAUUUUAGAUUUAUAGUCAUGAUUAUUCAAUAAUUCGUUCAAUAUAAAAGGCAUAACAAAGAGUAAUAGGCACUGCUAAUAAUUGUGCAUUUUUUGAAAUAGUCAGAAUCCUC